Molecule: transfer RNA, 72 nt
Filed under: Ovis aries (sheep)
Lineage: Eukaryota; Metazoa; Chordata; Mammalia; Artiodactyla; Bovidae
Rfam family: tRNA
About the family: Transfer RNA (tRNA) molecules are approximately 80 nucleotides in length. Their secondary structure includes four short double-helical elements and three loops (D, anti-codon, and T loops). Further hydrogen bonds mediate the characteristic L-shaped molecular structure. tRNAs have two regions of fundamental functional importance: the anti-codon, which is responsible for specific mRNA codon recognition, and the 3' end, to which the tRNAs corresponding amino acid is attached (by aminoacyl-tRNA synthetases). tRNAs cope with the degeneracy of the genetic code in two manners: having more than one tRNA (with a specific anti-codon) for a particular amino acid; and 'wobble' base-pairing, i.e. permitting non-standard base-pairing at the 3rd anti-codon position.
Source: Rfam by way of RNAcentral
UCCCUGGUAGCUUAGACGGUAAAGCGUCUGCUUACAAUGUGGGAGACCUGGGUUCGAUCCCUGGGUCGGGAA